GCGGAGAGAGCUCGGUCGGUUAGAGUAAUAAACUGUGAAUUUAAAGGACAUGGGUUCAAAUCCCAUUCUUCGCC
RNAcentral lists this transfer RNA (74 nucleotides) under Schimmelmannia schousboei. RNAcentral describes it as "tRNA-His". It matches the Rfam family "tRNA". From Rfam's summary of the family: Transfer RNA (tRNA) molecules are approximately 80 nucleotides in length. Their secondary structure includes four short double-helical elements and three loops (D, anti-codon, and T loops). Lineage: Eukaryota; Rhodophyta; Florideophyceae; Acrosymphytales; Schimmelmanniaceae. The record is from RNAcentral.